RNAcentral lists this ribosomal RNA (473 nucleotides) under uncultured Methanosaeta sp. Its description in RNAcentral is "bacterial SSU rRNA". It matches the Rfam family "Archaeal small subunit ribosomal RNA", at positions 871 to 1337 of the family's 1478-position model. The record is from RNAcentral. Lineage: Archaea; Methanobacteriati; Methanobacteriota; Methanomicrobia; Methanotrichales; Methanotrichaceae.
UUGACGGGGAGCACCGCAACGGGUGGAGCUUGCGGUUUAAUUGGAUUCAACGCCGGAAAUCUUACCGGGACCGACAGCAAUAUGAAGGCCAGGCUGAAGACUUUGCCGGAUUAGCUGAGAGGUGGUGCAUGGCCGUCGUCAGUUCGUACUGUGAAGCAUCCUGUUAAGUCAGGCAACGAGCGAGACCCACGCCCACAGUUGCCAGCGUACUCUCCGGAGUGACGGGUACACUGUGGGGACCGCCGCUGCUAAAGCGGAGGAAGGAAUGGGCAACGGUAGGUCAGUAUGCCCCGAAUAUCCCGGGCUACACGCGAGCUACAAUGGUUGGUACAAUGGGUAUCUACCCCGAAAGGGGACGGGAAUCUCCUAAAACCAAUCUUAGUUCGGAUUGAGGGCUGCAACUCGCCCUCAUGAAGCUGGAAUCCGUAGUAAUCGCGUUUCAACAGAACGCGGUGAAUACGUCCCUGCUCCUU